UUAAAUUGAAGAGUUUGAUCAUGGCUCAGAUUGAACGCUGGCGGCAGGCCUAACACAUGCAAGUCGAACGGUAACAGGAAGCAGCUUGCUGCUUUGCUGACGAGUGGCGGACGGGUGAGUAAUGUCUGGGAAACUGCCUGAUGGAGGGGGAUAACUACUGGAAACGGUGGCUAAUACCGCAUAACGUCGCAAGACCAAAGAGGGGGACCUUCGGGCCUCUUGCCAUCAGAUGUGCCCAGAUGGGAUUAGCUGGUUGGUGAGGUAACGGCUCACCAAGGCGACGAUCCCUAGCUGGUCUGAGAGGAUGACCAGCCACACUGGAACUGAGACACGGUCCAGACUCCUACGGGAG
This 352-nucleotide ribosomal RNA is filed under the name Salmonella enterica. RNAcentral's name for it is "bacterial SSU rRNA". It matches the Rfam family "Bacterial small subunit ribosomal RNA", at positions 1 to 347 of the family's 1533-position model. RNAcentral also lists the same sequence under 1 other name. Lineage: Bacteria; Pseudomonadati; Pseudomonadota; Gammaproteobacteria; Enterobacterales; Enterobacteriaceae. The record is from RNAcentral.